GAUGAACGCUGGCGGCGUGCCUAAUACAUGCAAGUCGAGCGAACGCACGAGAAGAUUUCUUCUCUGCUGCUAGCGGCGGACGGGUGAGUAACACGUGGAUAACCUACCUAUAAGACUGGGAUAACUUCGGGGAAACGCAGCUAAUACUGGAUAAUAUUUUGAACCGCAUGGUUCAAAAGUAAUAGACGGUCUUGCUGUCACUUAUAGAUGGAUCCGCGGUGCAUUAGCUAGUUGGUAAGGUAACGGCUUACCAAGGCAACGAAGCAUAGCCGACCUGAGAGGGUGGACCGCCACACUUGAACUUAGACACGGUCCAGACUCCUACGGGAAGCAGCAGUAGGGAAUCUUCCGCAAUGGGCGAAAGCCUGACGGAACAACGCCGCGUGAGUGAUGGAGGUCUUCGGAGCGUAAAACUCUGUUAGUAGGGAAGAACAUAUGUGUAAGUAACUGUGCACAUCUUUACGGUACCUAAACAGAAAGCCACGGCUAACUACGGGC
RNAcentral lists this ribosomal RNA (498 nucleotides) under uncultured bacterium. RNAcentral's name for it is "partial 16S ribosomal RNA". It matches the Rfam family "Bacterial small subunit ribosomal RNA", at positions 28 to 508 of the family's 1533-position model. The record is from RNAcentral.